CACCUUUGCAUGGGGUGGCAGUUCUGUUACCAGAUCUCAACCCAGCUGACCACCCAUUGGAGAUUUUGGACCUACGUGUUAGACAGCGCUCUCCACCACCAUCAUCAAAACACCAAAUGAGAGAACAUCUUUAGGAAGAACGGUGUUCAUCCCUCCGCUAGGGUUCCAGAGACCAGUAGGAUCAAUGCCAAGCAUCUACUUAGAGCUGCCACAAGGGGGCUCCACAGUGGGUGAUCUCAUCUGACAACAGACUGCAUGCAUCUGCAAGAAUCCAACACGCUGCUCAAUCUUCAUGAAAGAAAAAGCAUCAAGUCUUCAAAUCAUCUUGCAUUUGUUUAUCAGCCCUGACAACCCUUGCACCUGUGUCUCCGACAACAACCAGAGCACAAGCCCCUGGGUUGAAUUUUCAAUGUAUGAUGAUGAAUGUAGGAAAAACUGCAGAGACACUCAUUUUCAAGAGACCCUCAUUUUCAAGAAUACGAAAUGUCGAAAAGGUCACACUCGGGCGCAGAAAAAAGACGAAAACAGAAGCGAAAACAAAAAGAGAAAGGUUGGAUGUAACAAUGAGAUUUCUUGACAUUCAGAUACAUGUGUUCACAUCUUGCUGCGGAGUGCAACCUUCUGGCCAGCAGAACCUCUUGAGGUUUAAGUGCCUUGCUCAGAGUUACCCCCAGUCAAGCCUGCUUCUCGAACAAUGUGGCCGUGGGGAUUACACUGUUUGGAUCAGGAAUGUGCUAAAAAUGACUGAUUCAGAGAUGCAUUAGUUGUCAGAUUUGUCUCUGAGAUGAUAGGGUUGAGAAUACAUUUUUAAACAAAAUCCAAAGGCUACUGGGCAUUUUUUGUCUUAAAAUGCACUGAAAUGAAACAGAAAUUUGG
Long non-coding RNA from Xiphias gladius (swordfish), 876 nucleotides. RefSeq lists it as uncharacterized. The record is from RefSeq and is a predicted model, not a curated record. The transcript is spliced from 3 exons. NCBI's taxonomy places the organism in Eukaryota, Metazoa, Chordata, Actinopteri, Istiophoriformes, Xiphiidae.